GGCAGAUCCACCAUGAAAUCCAUGGCUAAAUGGGUCCAUGGAGCAUUAGGUAUUGGCAGUGGUUGUAACAACCCAUGAGGAGAUUUGUGGGAUGCUUUAGAAAUGGCACAUAUUUGACAUGCCCCUACAUAAUCUUUGAUGUCGUUCCUAAGUGUAGGCCACCAGAACCUCCUGGAAAUAGCAGAGAGAGUUUUAUGGACUCCAGGAUGACCUGCUGUCAAAUUAUCAUGGAA
Non-coding RNA from Pelobates cultripes (western spadefoot toad), 233 nucleotides. The record is from the annotation of a GenBank genome assembly. NCBI's taxonomy places the organism in Eukaryota, Metazoa, Chordata, Amphibia, Anura, Pelobatidae.